CAGCCUCGUCACCCAGGGCUGCAAAUGCAGCACUGCUUUUCUUCUUAGAUGACUUCUUCUUACCUGAAAAUGCAAUCAUGGAAGAAUCAACAUCGUUAUCAUCAACAGAGGCAGCUUAGACUCGGGUACAAAUGCAUCUGGUUCAUCUUCUUCAUCAAGCAAUGCUGCACUGAAGGGAUUACCACUCUUCUUAGAAGACUUCGAUUUUUUCUUUUUCUUAUCUG
This is a long non-coding RNA of Hibiscus syriacus, 224 nucleotides long. RefSeq lists it as uncharacterized. Lineage: Eukaryota; Viridiplantae; Streptophyta; Magnoliopsida; Malvales; Malvaceae. The record is from RefSeq and is a predicted model, not a curated record. The transcript has 2 exons.